AUGCAAGUCUGAGCGCUGUAGCAAUACAGAGCGGCGCACGGGUGAGUAACACGUGGGAACGUGCCCUUUGGUUCGGAAUAACUCAGGGAAACUUGAGCUAAUACCGGAUGAGCCCUAACGGGGAAAGAUUUAUCGCCGAAGGAGCGGCCCGCGUUGGAUUAGCUAGUUGGUGGGGUAAAAGCCUACCAAGGCGACGAUCCAUAGCUGGUUUGAGAGAACGACCAGCCACACUGGGAAAAAAAAAAAAAAAACCCCCUGGAAGACACCCGGCCAGACUCCUACGGGAGGCAGCAGUGGGGAAUCUUGGACAAUGGGGGAAACCCUGAUCCAGCCAUGGCCGCGUGAAGUGAUGAAGGCCCUUAGGGUUGUAAAACUCUUUCGGCGGGGACGAUAAUUGACGGUACCCGCAGAAGAAGCUCCGGUAACUUCGUGCCAGCAGCCGGGGUAAUUACGGAAGGGGGCUAGCGUUGUU
Molecule: ribosomal RNA, 472 nt
Filed under: uncultured bacterium
Lineage: Bacteria
Description: partial 16S ribosomal RNA
Rfam family: Bacterial small subunit ribosomal RNA
Source: RNAcentral